This 1336-nucleotide long non-coding RNA is filed under the name Gouania willdenowi (blunt-snouted clingfish). RNAcentral's name for it is "lncRNA (ENSGWIG00000004708.1)". The record is from RNAcentral. Lineage: Eukaryota; Metazoa; Chordata; Actinopteri; Blenniiformes; Gobiesocidae.
GCUGUGGACAAAUUUAGCUGUUCAGUAAGGUUUCUAAAAAAUCUCGAGCCCCUAAAUAGAUUAAAUUAACACUAAUGUCGGCACAGAAAAAACAAAAACAAAAAUUGGUUGACUCUAAAAGCAAUAAUGACAGACGGAAAACAGGCCCACUGACGGCUGACAGGACACACAUCAUACAUGCUAAACUACACACCACAGACAGGUCGGAGUUCUGAUUUAUAACCAUCACAAACACACUGAUGUAAAACCUCAGGGCUGAGAGACGAUGACAGCACUUCACAGGCCAUUUCACAAUUUUCCAGCUAACCAGCCCGACCGACAGCCAUUACCUUCCUCACUCGGUUAGCCAAACUGUAGUCAGCUACGCACUACUUUAAACCUAUGUAAUAAUGCGUUAACCAAAGGCUGUGUGAGACAAAUAAACGUGAUAGUGAGGUGUUACUCUGGCCGCAUUUUAUGGAUAAAUUAAGCUCAGUCUGCACCGUACAGCGAGAAAAGACGCAGGAAGGAAAUGUAUCACUCCACUUACCCUGAAACACUGCUGUCAAGCUACGAAAAUAGGCCUUCCGCCGCCCAAUUAGGAGCUGACUCGACUUUAUUUACCAAGACUUAAACAUUAACCACAAAUCCCCGUCUCUGUUUACAUCAACCCGCCGUAUUUUAGUCAAUUUAACCUAGAAGUGAACUAUACUGUCCACCAGGCGACACAGCGUACCCGCUGUACGGUCGACGUCAGUGACACGAGCCUGUGACUGAUAGACUCCUCGGCCAAUAGAAAAGCAAUAUGCGAGCGUUUUGUCCAAUCAGAACGUGACGUUGCCCGGGUGGGCGGGUGUGCAGGAGAGGACAUGACGGAGGUGACGGCCAUGUUCUGCAAGUGUUUGUAUCCCUCCGCCUCAGUAUUUACCUUUUGCUGGUUUUGCAUGUGUCCUGAAGCUGGAAUUGACAGUUCCUGUUCUGUGGUUCAUGGCUCAACUGGUGUCUUGAUGUUGGAGCUGGCAGUUCCUGAUCAAUGGUUCAUGGCUCAACUUGUCUGGGACACUAGGAUGGUCUAUCUCUCUAUCCUAUUCUGUUCUUCCUUCUGUUCACUAACCCCAACCAGUCGAGACAGAUGGCUGCCAACUCUGAACCUGGUUCUGCUGGAGAUUUCUUCCUGUUGAAAGAAAAACUGUUAGAAGGGAGUUUUUUCUUCCCACUGUCGCUUAUGCUUGUUCAUGUGGAUUUGUUGGCUUUUUUCCUUUUUAUUAUAAAUUUUAUAUUUUGAAAGAGCUUUGAGAUGACUUUUGUUGUAAUUGGCACUACAUAAUAAAAUUCAAUUCAAUUUAAUUUAAUUCCA